RNAcentral lists this transfer RNA (71 nucleotides) under Marmota monax (woodchuck). RNAcentral's name for it is "tRNA.Ala". It matches the Rfam family "tRNA". Rfam says of the family: Transfer RNA (tRNA) molecules are approximately 80 nucleotides in length. Their secondary structure includes four short double-helical elements and three loops (D, anti-codon, and T loops). The record is from RNAcentral. Lineage: Eukaryota; Metazoa; Chordata; Mammalia; Rodentia; Sciuridae.
GGGGUUGUGGCUCAGUGGUAGAGCACUCACCUAGCACAUGUGAGGCACUGGGUUUGAUCCUCAGCACCACA